Non-coding RNA from Pelobates cultripes (western spadefoot toad), 3496 nucleotides. NCBI's taxonomy places the organism in Eukaryota, Metazoa, Chordata, Amphibia, Anura, Pelobatidae. The record is from the annotation of a GenBank genome assembly.
CAUCAUUGCAUUCAUAAGCUUUAUUCCCAUCAGGUAAUGUAAUGUUUAGAGCAGUACAUUCAGCUGGCCUAUCCAGCGUGUUGGUUUUCUUAGCCAUCCAGGCUUCUUCUUGCAUGGUUCUCUUUACUUUUAUACAGCUGGUACAAAAAUACAAUGUCAUAACCUUGUCUGUAAUACAGAGAACACCAACAGUGAGCUGUUCUACACACUAUCAAUUACCAACUAACAGCAUUUGAGAUGUGUUGCUGAACACCUGUGUCCCCACUGCAAUUCAUACUAUUAAAGGGGAACUGCCACAUCCCAAUUUUUCUUUUUUCAUAUUAUGUUUACUUAUACCUGUAUAUGACCAAUAUGUAUUUUUAAAGGGGUGAAAAAAAAAAAAGUUAAAUGUAGAAUGCCGUCAACUUGGUGCCUCCAUUUUGGCUUCCUGUCAUUCAUUUUAUUAGCUCUGUCUUAUACACCUGGCAGUCAGCAUAUAGAAAGCAUAAAGAUAGGAAAUUAAACAAUAUUUCAGCUUAGCCUUUCCGUUCCUAAACAAGAUAAUUACACAGUUGGCUAAAUCUUUAAUAUAAAUGUAAAAUAAAAUAAAUACUUCUCAUGAAAAAUGAUUUACACAAGUCAGUAGCGGAACUAACGUACGUAUAAGAAUUCUUUUGGGCCCCCCCUAUUGCAAAAGCUAUAUCCCCAUCUGUCAUAAAACUCCCACAAUGCUUUGUUAGCUGGGGAUCUACUAUUUGCCCAUCCUUACAGCAUUGCACUUAGCACUGAGCACUUUUUGUUUGAAUGUAAGCAAAUGUGAGUGGAUGUAGGGGUGUAUUUAGAAACAUAGAAACAUAGAAUGUGACGGCAGAUAAGAACCAUUCAGCCCAUCUAGUCUGCCCAAUUUUCUAAAUACUUUCAUUAGUCCCUAGCCUUAUCUUAUAGUUAGGAUAGCCUUAUGCCUAUCCCACGCAUGCUUAAACUCCUUUACUAUGUUAACCUCUACCACUUCAGAUGGAAGGCUAUUCCAUGCAUCCACUACCCUCUCAGUAAAGUAAUACUUCCUGAUAUUAUUUUUAAACCUUUGUCCCUCUAAUUUAAGACUAUGUCCUCUUGUUGUGGUAGUUUUUCUUCUUUUAAAUAUAGUCUCCUCCUUUACUGUGUUGAUUCCUUUAUAUAUUUAAAUGUUUCUAUCAUAUCCCCCCUGUCUCGUCUUUCCUCCAAGCUAUACAUGUUAAGAUCCUUUAACCUUUCCUGGUAAGUUUUAUCCCGCAAUCCAUGAACCAGUUUAGUAGCCCUUCUUUGAACCCUCUCUAAAGGUAUCAAUAUCCUUCUGAAGAUACGGUCUCCAGUACUAUGUACAAUACUCCAAGUGAGGUCUCACCAGUGUUCUGUACAAUGGCAUGAGCACUUCCCUCUUUCUACUGCUAAUACCUCUCCCUAUACAACCAAGCAUUCUGCUAGCAUUUCCUGCUGCUCUAUUACAUUGUCUGCCUACCUUUAAGUCAUCAGAAAUAAUCACCCCUAAAUCCCUUUCCUCAUAUGUUGAGGUUAGGACUCUAUCAAAUAUUCUGUACUCUGCCCUUGGGUUUUUACGUCCAAGAUGCAUUAUCUUGCACUUAUCCACAUUAAAUGUCAGUUGCCACAAUUCUGACCAUUUUUCUAGUUUACCUAAAUCAUUUGUCAUUUGGCUUAUCCCUCCUGGAACAUCAACCCUGUUACAUAUCUUAGUAUCAUCAGCAAAAAGACAUACCUUACCAUCAAGACCUUCUGCAAUAUCACUAAUAAAAAUAUUAAAGAGAAUGGGUCCAAGUGCAGAUCCCUGAGGUACCCCACUGGUGACAAGUCCAAGCUUCGAAUAUAUUCCAUUAACUACAACCCUCUGUUGCCUUUCACUCAGCCACUGCCUUACCCAUUCAACAAUAUUGGAAUCCAAACUUAAAGUUUGCAGUUUAUUGAUAAGCCUUCUAUGUGCAACAGUGUCAAAAGCCUUACUGAAAUCUAGGUAAGCAAUGUCUACUGCACCACCCUGAUCUGUAAGUUACAUAGUUACAUGGCUGAAAAGAGACAUUUGUUCAUCAAGUUCAGCCUUUCAUCUGUUUUGUGCUUCCAAUUUUGCAACAAACUAAGAAAAAAAACACACCUUAUUGACCCCAGAAUGGCAGUCAGAUCUCUCCUUGGAUCAAGAAGCUUUUAUCCCACAAAGUAAAAAUAUUAUGUUUUUUGAAGUUAUUCAUCCAGUUGCUGUUUAAAAAUCUGUACAGAUUCUAAUAAAACCACCCCUUGAUGCAGAGAAUUCCAUAUCCUUAUUGUUCUUACAUUAAAACAACUUUUCCUUUGCCUUAUACUAAAUCUCCUUUCUUCCAGUCUAAAUGUGUGACUUUGUGUUCUAUGUAGAGUCCUGUUUAUGAAUAGAUUUCCAGACAAUGGUUUGUAUUAGCCCUGCAUAUAUUUACCUAAAGCUAGCAUAUCCCCUCUGAGGUGCUGUUUUUCUAAACUAAAGAUAUUUAAAUUUGAUAACCUUUCAUUAAAACUAAAAUGCUCCAUUCCACUUAAUAAUUUAGUAUCUUUAUAUAUUAAUUUUGUAUGUAUCUGUCAUCACAUUCUAUGUUUCUAUGGGUUUUUUAGUAGACUGCCUCUGUUCUUUUUCUUGUGUCGUAAUAUUCUUCUUUAGAACAGGUAUCCACAAUUGCACAGCAAGUUGUGGUUUUACCAGUGAUUUAUAAAGAGGCAAAAUUAUAGUUUCAUCCAAAAUGAAUGACCCUUUUUAUACAUGACAAUGGCUUAAAGGGAUUCUCCAGUGCCAGGAAAACAUAUUUGUUCUCCAGGCACUGCAGGACAAUCUAGUGCCCCUCUACCUCCCACCCCCCAUCCCAAGCUGCUGAAGGGGUUAAAACCCCUUUAGUGACUUACCGGAGUCCAGUGCCGAUGUCCCUCGGCACUGAGUCAGGCUCCUCCUACUUAUCUUCUAAUAUUUUACUGGCCUUUAUUGUACCAUGAUUUUGAAAUAUGGACUUAUAAUCAUGGCCUCUGUCUUAUAGCUUUAAAAAAAUAUAUUCUUCAGUGAAUUAUAAUUUUUUGUGUAAAUACAUUCUCUCUGAAAUCUGUGUUGCUGAAACUUUAGUUUGAUUUAUUUUGAUUUACUUGCUAGAAAGAAUUAAUAAAAUCUGGUUAACUUUUAAUAUUCUUCUUAUCAAUCUUCAGUGAAACAUUCUAAUGUUGGAAGUUAAUUUGUCAAAUUUCUUUAUUCUCUCCAGCAUUGCAUUCUGCAGGGAAAAAAUGAGAAAAGAAAAAUAAAGGCUGAGUCACAAGCAUAUUUAUCCAUCUUAGAGUUUACAUAAAGGCAAGACAUUCCUAAUAUCGUUCCAGAAAAAAGUGGUGGAGAUCGAAUAAACAUAUUUUUAUUGUUAAAGCUAAAUAUUGCAGUAUUUAUGUGAAAUGCAUUGGCAACGAUGCUUUAACCACUUUGCCUCAACAUGAACUAUGUCUUUUAUUUUCUAAAUCUACCCCCCUGUGG